RNAcentral lists this transfer RNA (72 nucleotides) under Stereum hirsutum FP-91666 SS1. RNAcentral describes it as "tRNA-Gly (CCC) (tRNA-Gly-CCC-3-1)". It matches the Rfam family "tRNA". From Rfam's summary of the family: Transfer RNA (tRNA) molecules are approximately 80 nucleotides in length. Lineage: Eukaryota; Fungi; Basidiomycota; Agaricomycetes; Russulales; Stereaceae. The record is from RNAcentral.
CUUCCGAUAGCUCAAGUGGUAGAGCGCUGGGUGCCCAGCCCAGAGAUGCUGGUUCGAGUCUGGCUCGGAGGU